ACUGGGCGUAGAGGGUCUGUAGGUGGUUUGUUAAGUCAGAUGUGAAAGCCCAGGGCUCAACCUUGGAACUGCAUUUGAUACUGGCAAACUAGAGUAUGGUAGAGGAAUGGGGAAUUUCUGGUGUAGCGGUGAAAUGCGUAGAGAUCAGAAGGAACACCAAUGGCGAAGGCAACAUUCUGGACCAAUACUGACACUGAGGGACGAAAGCGUGGGGAUCAAACAGGAUUAGAUACCCUGGUAGUCCACGCUGUAAACGAUGAGUACUAGCUGUUGGAUUCGGUGUAAAGGAUCUAGUGGCGUAGCUAACGCGUUAAGUACUCCGCCUGGGGACUACGGCCGCAAGGCUAAAACUCAAAGGAAUUGACGGGGACCCGCACAAGCGGUGGAGCAUGUGGUUUAAUUCGAUGCAACGCGAAGAACCUUACCUGGUCUUGACAUCCUGCGAACUUUCUAGAGAUAGAUUGGUGCCUUCGGGAACGCAGUGACAGGUGCUGCACGGCUGUCGUCAGCUCGUGUUGUGAAAUGUUGGGUUAAGUCCCGCAACGAGCGCAACCCCUAUUGAUAGUUACCAUCAUUAAGUUGGGUACUCUAUUGAGACUGCCGCUGACAAGGCGGAGGAAGGUGGGGACGACGUCAAGUCAUCAUGGCCCUUACGACCAGGGCUACACACGUGCUACAAUGGGUAUUACAGAGGGCAGCGAAGUAGCGAUAUGGAGCGAAACUCAGAAAGGUACUCUUAGUCCGGAUUGCAGUCUGCAACUCGACUGCAUGAAGUCGGAAUCGCUAGUAAUCGCAGGUCAGAAUACUGCGGUGAAUACGUUCCCGGGUCUUGUACACACCGCCCGUCACACCAUGGGAGUGGGUUGCUCCAGAAGUAGAUAGCUUAACGAA
This 891-nucleotide ribosomal RNA is filed under the name uncultured bacterium. RNAcentral's name for it is "bacterial SSU rRNA". It matches the Rfam family "Bacterial small subunit ribosomal RNA", at positions 553 to 1442 of the family's 1533-position model. The record is from RNAcentral.